This is a non-coding RNA of Coniochaeta sp. 2T2.1, 114 nucleotides long. The record is from the annotation of a GenBank genome assembly. Lineage: Eukaryota; Fungi; Ascomycota; Sordariomycetes; Coniochaetales; Coniochaetaceae.
GGGGAUGUGGUCUAGGGGUAUGAUUUCUCUUUCGCACACUGGUCCACCAACAAGCAAAUCGGUCGAUCCAGACAGCUAUAGAGACGGUCCAGGGUUCAAUUCCCUGCAUCUCCA